GUAGGUGGCAAGCGUUAUCCGGAUUUACUGGGCGUAAAGCGUGUGCAGGCGGCUUGACAAGUGGUGUAUGAAAUCGCUCGGCUCAACCGGGCGCGGUUAUGCCAGACUGUCAGGCUGGAGUCUGAAAGAGGGUGGUGGAAUUCCGGGUGUAGUGGUGAAAUGCGUAGAGAUCCGGAGGAACCCCAGAGGCGAAGGCAGCCACCUGGUUCAGCACUGACGCUCAGACACGACAGCAUGGGGAGCGAACGGGAUUAGAAACCCCGGUAGUCCAUGCCGUAAACGAUGUUCACUAGGCGCUAGCGGUCUCAACCCCGUUGGUGCCGUAGAUAACUCGCUAAGUGAACCGCCUGGGGAGUACGGCCGCAAGGCUA
RNAcentral lists this ribosomal RNA (371 nucleotides) under uncultured organism. Its description in RNAcentral is "bacterial SSU rRNA". It matches the Rfam family "Bacterial small subunit ribosomal RNA", at positions 527 to 896 of the family's 1533-position model. The record is from RNAcentral.